GACGAACGCUGGCGGCGUGCUUAACACAUGCAAGUCGAACGGAAAGGCCCUGCUUUUGUGGGGUGCUCGAGUGGCGAACGGGUGAGUAACACGUGAGUAACCUGCCCUUGACUUUGGGAUAACUUCAGGAAACUGGGGCUAAUACCGGAUAGGAGCUCCUGCUGCAUGGUGGGGGUUGGAAAGUUUCGGCGGUUGGGGAUGGACUCGCGGCUUAUCAGCUUGUUGGUGGGGUAGUGGCUUACCAAGGCUUUGACGGGUAGCCGGCCUGAGAGGGUGACCGGCCACAUGGGGACUGAGAUACGGCCCAGACUCCUACGGGAGGCAGCAGUGGGGAAUAUUGCACAAGGGGCGGAAGCCUGAUGCAGCAACGCCGCGUGCGGGAUGAGGGCCUUCGGGGUGUAAACCGCUUUCGCCUGUGACGAAGCGUGAGUGACGGUAAGGGGUAAAGAAGCACCGGCUAACUACG
RNAcentral lists this ribosomal RNA (466 nucleotides) under uncultured bacterium. Its description in RNAcentral is "partial 16S ribosomal RNA". It matches the Rfam family "Bacterial small subunit ribosomal RNA", at positions 28 to 505 of the family's 1533-position model. The record is from RNAcentral.